RNAcentral lists this long non-coding RNA (255 nucleotides) under Salvia miltiorrhiza (redroot sage). Its description in RNAcentral is "long non-coding RNA (SMIL_LNC003488)". Lineage: Eukaryota; Viridiplantae; Streptophyta; Magnoliopsida; Lamiales; Lamiaceae. The record is from RNAcentral.
AUUUUUCUUAAAUAGUAUAUAGAUUCAAAUUUGGUAUACACAUUGUAUUUAUUUGACACACUAAAAACGUGAUGCAUAUACCUCCUGUGUGUGUGAACAAUGAGGUUUCCAAACCCCACUGCUCCCCCUCCCCAACUAAUCCCCCAAGUAAAAAAAAAACGUGACGCGUAAUAAGGGCCUUCCAGGACAAAAAAAAAAAAAACACAGAGGGGUAAAAUAGACCCAACACUCGCACGGGUAUGCCUUUCGCUGCUG